This is a long non-coding RNA of Mytilus trossulus (common blue mussel), 234 nucleotides long. RefSeq lists it as uncharacterized. The record is from RefSeq and is a predicted model, not a curated record. Lineage: Eukaryota; Metazoa; Mollusca; Bivalvia; Mytilida; Mytilidae. The transcript is spliced from 3 exons.
AGAAAUCUUACAAUCAGCAUGGAAACAAACAGUAGACAGCUUGAGGAGGCUCUACUUACUGCUGCAAGAUGUGGUGACACGCAAACAGUAAAGAGAUGUUUAGAGGGAGGAGUAAAUGUUAACUAUCAAGACUAUAAUGGCGAAACUGCACUUCACAAUGCUGCACGGAUCAGAAACACAGACAUCAUCAAAUUGCUAAUUGAUGCUGGUAUUGAUAGCAUUGCCCAGAACAAG